CCUACGGGGCGCAGCAGUGGGGAAUAUUGCACAAUGGGGGAAACCCUGAUGCAGCAAUGCCGCGUGGGUGAAGAAGCACUCCGGUGCGUAAAGCCCUGUCAGCAGGGAAGAAAAUGACAGUACCUGACCAAGAAGCCCCGGCUAACUACGUGCCAGCAGCCGCGGUAAUACGUAGGGGGCAAGCGUUAUCCGGAUUUACUGGGUGUAAAGGGAGCGCAGGCGGUAUGGCAAGUCAGAUGUGAAAACCCAGGGCUCAACCCUGGGACUGCAUUUGAAACUGCCAUACUGGAGUGCCGGAGAGGUAA
Molecule: ribosomal RNA, 305 nt
Filed under: uncultured bacterium
Lineage: Bacteria
Description: bacterial SSU rRNA
Rfam family: Bacterial small subunit ribosomal RNA
Source: RNAcentral